AAAAAUAUGCAACUAUUGGUGUCGUAAGUGUUUCUUUCAUCACAGAAAUUUGUGAGGAUAAAAGGCCUAUUCAUUUUCUGAUAAAUAAACUGUUAUCAUAUUGCUAAACAAUUACUCGAAGAAGCUCUCAUUCAAUGGCAAGAGAGGACUUCGAGAUAAGCAAAAUGAUAACAGUGGUCAAAAUGAUAAAUCAAUCAUCCUAAACUAGACCUUGUGACUUCAUAUGCCAAGAAACAUGCUGCAUUUGCAGGCACGCUUCGGGCCAUAGCAGGGCCAAAACCCUUAUACAAGCCUUUGACACCCUCCGAUGCCAGGAUCUUUCUAAAAGCGUCAAUGGAGCCUCUGAACUUGGGAUUUCUGUAAUCAUCUACCUGAAUUACACUCUUGACUACAUCGGUAGGGUAUACCAUUAGCCAAAAAGAUCCUCCAGCCAAGCCUCCAGCUAACAUCAGAGAGCCCCUGCCCAAUUGAGAAGUAUCCUGGCCUCCUGCCAAGGAUUGCUUCAGUAAUUCAUAGACACCAAACAUAAUAGCAUUUCCUGGAACCUCACGUCCCAAAGUGGGUACCAAGCCCUUGAAAAGACCCCUCAUACCACCUUCAGAUUUGAUAACAUGCCUGGCCACGUCCAUUGGUCCACCAUACUUCACUGCCACAGCUUCUGGGCCAGAACCAGCUAAGGCACUUUGCGCUUGCAGCCUGCACUUAAUCAACUCAGUAGGGCAAGCAAGGAGAGAAACAGCAACUCCAGCUCCUGCCCCACAAACAAUCUGCUGGCUAACGGUGAGUGGAGCACCAGGUUGAGAUCUCAACAAUGCCUCCAUUUGUCCCCUCACGGUGAAAAGGACAGCAUUGAAGGUUGAAGACUGCCACAGUAGCAAGUGGAGCCCCCAUACCCUUGUAUAAACCCCUUGGGCCUUCAGCAGCCAAAGUCUGCCUGACAGCAUCCAUUGCACCUGCAUAUUUAGGAGGCUGGCCAGGUUGUGGAGCAGGCUGGCUCUGAAGCUUGACCUUGAUGG
Molecule: unclassified non-coding RNA, 1016 nt
Filed under: Hevea brasiliensis (rubber tree)
Lineage: Eukaryota; Viridiplantae; Streptophyta; Magnoliopsida; Malpighiales; Euphorbiaceae
Source: RNAcentral